AGAAUUUUUUUUUUUUCUAGAUCCGCCACUGGAAAUGGUGAUACUGAUUUCUUUAUGAACAUAAAUGCGUAUGCCUUGCUUAAUAAGCUAUGGACUCCACAUAUUUUAACGGAGUGCAUCUUUGAUUGCUUCAGCUUAUGUACACAGUUUAAUAUCAUUUUCAUUUAUUCUCAACUCGUCUAUAACUCAAAACUAAAUUUCUUAACUUCAACUAAUGGGAUCACUUACAAAAUUAUUUCGUGCCAUUUCCUGUAUGUGGAGCUAAAUAAGUCUUGUUGUUAAAUUUGGAUGACGUGUCCAGUUCAAAUGAUCAACUUGGAGUUUUUCAGGUACUAUAGGAGUUGACUCCAUACAUCAUAGUUCUCUGUUAUCUGUUAUAUUUUCAAUUUCAAAUUCCUUACUUCACUCUUUAUUGCAUGUAAAAUUUGGGGGUAUGAAUUUCUCUCUGCUCCCCUUUUGGGGUAUAGAGGAAAUGUUGUGUUGUGGUUGAGGUUUAUGGAAAACAAUGUUUUUCUGUAUCUGGUUUGUUGGUGAAACAUUCUGAAAGUUUGUUGACUGUUCGUUUUGCACAAUGAAGACAUCCACAUGCACAAGCACAAACAUUUUCUGAUUAGGCAUUGUGUUCACUAGUACACAAAAAAGAAAAUUGAUGAUUUCCUUUAUGGGUGCAUCAUUAUGAUUUGCAGUUUGAUUAGAGAUUAGUCACGGAAAAAAUUAUUUCUUGUGCUACAAUUUUGUGAUACUGUGCUUUAAUGUUGUAUACUUAAAUCAUUUUUGUGAGAAAUUUGCUUCGUUUGGGGUUGUGUUAUGCAUCACUUUAAUUGCAUCUGAAGACUUUUGGCGUAGUACAUGGAGUAAAUCCAUGUGGAAAAUAUAGAGGACCUGCAAGGUCUGCCCCUCAUUGAUAUGAAGAAGUUCUAAUUUUCCAUUAGAAAGAUCUUCAUUUUGGCAGGCCAAUCCGUACUGAGGGCAGCUGGACAUUUGUUGAUAUAUUAUGGAGUUAGAUUGGGUACAUGUUAAUUUGUGUCCACUGGAGUCUGGACCUUUCUUGUUACACAGAUGUUAUAAAUAAUAUACACUGUAUUUAACUAGUACCUUUUGGUAUUUUCACACCUAUGCAGGUGACCAAGUUGCAUCUUGUUGGUGUUGUGUUAAUAUUGUUGUUCUUUUCAUGCACAUAGAUAGUAAUAAGUUAGUAACACCAUGUGGGUAGUGUGUGUGUGUGUAUAUAUUAGUCAAAAUGGUAAUAAAUUGAUAACAGAUGAAAACCAGAGUAUCUUAAUGAUACCAGGAAAACAAAAAUUUCGCAGCCAUCAAUAUGAAAAGGUGCAAAGCCAAGUGCUAUGCUUUUUAACUUUUUCCUUUAUUUUAUAUCUAUUAUCAAAUUCUCUUGUUAUGUCUGCUGGGGUAAUGCACUUUAAUGUCACAAUAACUAUCUUAUUAGCAAAUUUUAAUGAGAUUUCAUUCGGCUUUCUUCCAAUUAUAACUUUAAAUAUCAUAGUUGCUUACACAUUGUCACAUUUGAUGUUCAAAUGUCACGAUCAUAGUUGUGUUUCCAUUUCAUUUUCUUCAUUUGGAUCCAAAGUUUUUUAUGCUCUUUUAGCAUGAAAAUUAAUGGUAAUGAAGCCAGAAAUCAUGUUUUGGCUAAAACUUGCUACUGAUUGAAGUAUUUCUUUUGGUUGGCACUUGCAGGUAAUGGUAUUCGAUGAAACGACUUGAACUUAGCUUAUAGGUUUGUGUUGUGGAUGAAACCAGCAAGAACAGGGAGAAGAAAGAAAGGCAAAAGGAGACAUUUAGAGUUUCUUUGUGAAUAUUGUAGGUUAAAGUGCUUGUUAUCUGUGGUAAAUAUUAAAUUGUUCUGAUAACAAUCAUUCAAAAAUACGGUUUCUUCAAAAUGCCCUUCAAAAUUUUUCAUCCAUAUGAAUGGAAAUCUGCUUAUAGUUUCAGGAAAAUAUGACUUGAGGCUCAUGUCUUGAGCAUUGUUAUGCUUUCUACUUCUAUUUUUCAGUCUUGAGC
Molecule: unclassified non-coding RNA, 2016 nt
Filed under: Hevea brasiliensis (rubber tree)
Lineage: Eukaryota; Viridiplantae; Streptophyta; Magnoliopsida; Malpighiales; Euphorbiaceae
Source: RNAcentral